UCCCUCUGCUGCCCAGUUGCGCCGCCAGAGGGCUGAGGGCAGGGAGCGAGUAACCCGCCAGGGAGAAGGCGAGGGGAAGCCCAGCGCGAGCCGCCCUCCAGUCCCGCUCCGCAGGUGUGAACCUGUAAAAUUAAAUCAUCCAAGAUGAUCUGGCAUAUUCUAAUUGUAGGGAUUCUGCUUCCCCAAACUUUGGCCCAUCCAGGGUUUUUUACUUCAAUUGGUCAAAUGACUGAUUUGAUCCAUACGGAGAAAGACCUGGUGACUUCUCUAAAAGAUUAUAUUAAGGCAGAAGAGGACAAGUUAGAACAGAUAAAAAGAUGGGCAGAGAAGUUAGAUCGGCUGACUAGCACAGCAACAAAAGAUCCAGAAGGAUUUGUUGGGCAUCCUGUAAAUGCUUUCAAGUUAAUGAAACGGCUGAAUACUGAGUGGAGUGAGUUGGAGAAUCUGGUCCUUAAGGAUAUGUCAGAUGGGUUUAUCUCUAACCUAACCAUUCAGAGACAGUAUUUCCCUAAUGAUGAAGAUCAGGUUGGGGCAGCCAAAGCCUUGUUACGUCUCCAGGACACCUACAAUCUGGACACAGAUACCAUCUCAAAGGGUAAUCUUCCAGGAGUGAAACACAAAUCAUUCCUUACGGCUGAGGACUGCUUUGAGUUGGGCAAAGUGGCCUACACAGAAGCAGACUAUUACCACACCGAACUCUGGAUGGGACAGGCCCUCAGGCAGCUGGAUGAGGGCGAGGUGGCCACAGUGGACAAGGUCUCUGUGCUAGAUUAUCUGAGCUAUGCUGUAUACCAGCAGGGAGACCUGGAUAAGGCCCUUGUGCUCACAAAGAAGCUUCUUGAACUAGAUCCUGAACAUCAGAGAGCUAAUGGUAACUUAAAAUAUUUUGAGUAUAUAAUGGCUAAAGAAAAAGAUGCAAAUAAGUCUGCUUCAGGUGACCAGUCUGAUCAGGAAAGCACAUCAAGGAGAAAAGGGAUUGCUGUGGAUUACCUGCCAGAGAGACAGAAGUACGAAAUGCUGUGCCGUGGGGAGGGUAUCAAAAUGACUCCUCGAAGACAAAAAAAGCUGUUUUGCCGCUACCAUGAUGGAAACCGGAAUCCUAAAUUUAUUCUGGCUCCAGCCAAACAGGAGGAUGAGUGGGACAAGCCUCGUAUUAUUCGCUUCCAUGAUAUUAUUUCUGAUGCAGAAAUUGAAAUUGUCAAAGACCUAGCAAAACCAAGACUGAGCCGAGCUACAGUACAUGACCCUGAGACUGGAAAAUUGACCACAGCACAAUACAGAGUAUCUAAGAGUGCCUGGCUCUCUGGCUAUGAAAACCCCGUGGUGUCUCGAAUUAACAUGAGGAUACAAGAUCUGACAGGACUAGAUGUGUCCACAGCAGAAGAAUUACAGGUAGCAAAUUAUGGAGUUGGGGGACAAUAUGAACCUCAUUUUGACUUUGCACGGAAAGAUGAACCAGAUGCUUUCAAAGAACUGGGAACAGGAAAUAGAAUUGCCACAUGGCUGUUUUAUAUGAGUGACGUGUCUGCAGGGGGAGCCACUGUUUUUCCUGAAGUAGGAGCUAGUGUUUGGCCCAAAAAAGUAAGGAACUGCUGUUUUCUGGUAUAAUCUGUUUGCCAGUGGAGAAGGAGAUUACAGUACACGGCAUGCAGCCUGUCCAGUACUAGUCGGAAACAAAUGGGUAUCCAAUAAAUGGCUUCAUGAACGUGGACAAGAAUUUCGAAGACCCUGCACUUUGUCAGAACUGGAAUGACAAGCUGGCUUCCCUGCCCCUCCUGUUGUUGUACUCUAAUGUGUCUGAUACACACAGUUCCUCGUCUUAACUUUCAAGGUUUACAGUUGACUAACACUCCUUGAUUGACACAGCCAUGAACCUCACCCCAUGCUCCAUCUGUGGACGGUCACUUGCUCUUCUUUUUUACAAGUAACACUAAAUUGCCACACUUGAAACAAGCUUAAAAGUUCAGUUGGUAUAACAGAAGGCAGACUUAAAAUGAAAAUUUUAUAUUUUAAAUAACUUUUUGGUUGGGCAAAUAUAAUUUAAGCAUCCGUUUUAGUAUUUCAUGACCUCUUCUGGACUGAUGUUGGUAGGCAGAUGCUGCUCGGUGGGUCGCUAGGUGUCUUGCCAGCUUGUUUUCUGGACUUGUGUGAACCCAAGUAAUAAAGCAGGCCUCGAUCUGGGCUCCAAGUGAUUUUGCCCCUUCAUACAUUAUUAUAAGUUGAAUUUUCCCCCUAUCUCCUCUUUCAAGGAAGUAUAUUUUGUUUUUCCAAUCCUUUUCUCUUUAGCUACUCUGUGGUGAAUUAAUCCUGUUUGAGUUAAAAUAGUUUUUAAAAAACAAAGUUCUGCCUAACCACCGUAGGCCUUCUUAACAAGCUCAUUAGUCUGUCCUUCCUUCUUUCUCUUGACUGAUGAUUUUUUCUGGAAACUUUGUUUUGCCUCUUACUCCUACUACAGCAGGGUGGUGAUACUGGCAUUCUGAUUAAAUAUUGUGCCUUAGGAGACUGGAAGUUUAAAAAUGUACAGGUCCUUUCAGUAAUGAGGGAAUUGAUUUUAAAAGAAAAUCUUUUCUUAAAAAGCCAAAAUGUUUGUUUUUUAAAAAAUUCUGAAAUGUGUUGACAACAAUAACCUAUUUAUGAUCUUAAAUCUUUUUUUAAAAAUC
Octodon degus (degu) is the source of this 2660-nucleotide RNA transcript. It is a transcript of the gene named prolyl 4-hydroxylase subunit alpha 1, with no coding region annotated. NCBI's taxonomy places the organism in Eukaryota, Metazoa, Chordata, Mammalia, Rodentia, Octodontidae. The record is from RefSeq and is a predicted model, not a curated record. The transcript has 15 exons.